CGCAGCCUGGGGCCGGCGCCACUGAGCUCACAUGUCACCACCCCCCUACAUACCAGAGACCCUCUGGGCCAGCCUCGGAUGCACACAGGAUGGUGAUCUCCCAGAAUUCCAGGAGCUGUGGUGCUGGGGGAGCAGGCCUGCUGGGGGUCCCCUUCUUUUCGGAGAGCUGGCUGCCGCUUCUUGUUUUCAUUGGCUGGGCUUCUGGCUCAGGUCUGCAGGCAAACAGGCAAGAAUGAAGAUUAGCCCUGAGCUGACAUCUGCUGCCAAUCCUCCUCUUUUUCCUGAGGAAGACUGGCCCUGAGCUAACAUCUGUGUCCAUCUUCCUCUACUUUAUACGUGGGAUGCCUACCACAGCAUGGCUUGCCAAGCCGUGCCAUGCCCACACCUGGGAUCCGAACCGGCAAACCCUGGGACGCCAAAG
Molecule: long non-coding RNA, 421 nt
Filed under: Equus asinus (donkey)
Lineage: Eukaryota; Metazoa; Chordata; Mammalia; Perissodactyla; Equidae
Description: lncRNA (ENSEASG00005036150.1)
Source: RNAcentral